Mycena polygramma is the source of this 107-nucleotide non-coding RNA. Lineage: Eukaryota; Fungi; Basidiomycota; Agaricomycetes; Agaricales; Mycenaceae. The record is from the annotation of a GenBank genome assembly.
UCCGAAUUGGUGUAGGGGUUAACAUUGCCGCUUCUCAGGUUUGUGCAGUCUGUACAAAUUGGGUAAUCUGUGCGCGGCAGCCCGGGGUUCGAUUCCCCGAUUCGGAA